Long non-coding RNA from Cavia porcellus (domestic guinea pig), 1069 nucleotides. RefSeq lists it as uncharacterized. Lineage: Eukaryota; Metazoa; Chordata; Mammalia; Rodentia; Caviidae. The record is from RefSeq and is a predicted model, not a curated record. The transcript has 3 exons.
UUCAAAAGGAAUUUUACCAAGAACCAGUGAAACUAAGACAUGACAGUUUUAUGCUAAGCAAGAGAUUCUGAUCUAAAUUGCUGAGGAAAAUGACUGUGGUAAAUAUUUCUUAGUUGAUGACUUAAACCAGCUCAGCAGAUUAACCAAAACACACCCUGAAUGCUUGCAGCUGGUGACGGACACAUUCACUUUUGCUCCUUCUAGACAUCGCUAAGGACCACAAGGCCACCGGAGCUUUUCCCCAGCGGAAUCACCUUCCUCGUGCAGCUGCUGCUGACUGUGAACCGAGUUCUCCGGAGGCCGGCUCUCUCCAGCAGGUGGCGCUGCCGCAGUGCGGGCUGCGGCGACCCCGCCUCGUCUGUAAGGAAAGCUCCAUCCAGAAUCUCAGCUCUGUGGUGCUCCACGUGGCUGUGAUUGCUUCAGAGGUGACCACAGCCAUUCACAUGGGCUCUGAAUCCAGCCUGCCAGGGGUCAAUCUCUCAUCAUGUUUAAACACAAGAAUCUCGAUCAAAGAUCAAAGUUGGCUUCAGAGACCAAAUCACUCCUUUCAUAAGGGAUCACGGGGACUCAGCCCUGUCUGGGUGUCUGGUUUUGAUUUAGAUAAAACUAGAUCUAAGCACAAAAAAAAAAAAAAAAAAAAAAAGAAAAAAAAAUUAUAGUAAAGGUGCAGAACUGCAGAACACAACUGACAAAUGUCAAAGUGUUACAUUUAAAAUGAAGGAACAAUACUGACACAGAACAUGCUGGAGACACUUCGAAAAUAGAGAACAAAAUGUACUGGAAGAAAAUAUAACAGACUUCACUAUGAAUGGCAAUUAUAUUCUGCUGUGAUGAAAACCAAAAAUCUGUUAUGUGUAAAAUGGAAGAAAAUCAAGUGGAUGAUACUGAGGGGUGUUUCAGAAAAUGCACAGUGAAGUUGACAAAACGUUUUCUUCCUAAAUUCAUAAAAGAAUUAAUAAAAAUCUGAACUAAAACCAGACGUAAGAUUUUUUUUUGUCUUUUUCCUUUUUAUGGGUACCAAGGAUCGAACUCACGACUGCCUGCUUGCAAGGCAGGCGCUUAUGGCGUG